RNAcentral lists this ribosomal RNA (253 nucleotides) under uncultured bacterium. RNAcentral's name for it is "partial 16S ribosomal RNA". It matches the Rfam family "Bacterial small subunit ribosomal RNA", at positions 524 to 776 of the family's 1533-position model. The record is from RNAcentral.
UACGUAGGUGGCAAGCGUUGUCCGGAAUUAUUGGGCGUAAAGCGUGCGCAGGCGGUGCUGUAAGACCGAUGUGAAAUCCCCGGGCUUAACCUGGGAACUGCAUUGGUGACUGCAUCGCUCGAGUAUGGCAGAGGGGGGUAGAAUUCCACGUGUAGCAGUGAAAUGCGUAGAGAUGUGGAGGAAUACCGAUGGCGAAGGCAGCCCCCUGGGUCAAUACUGACGCUCAUGCACGAAAGCGUGGGGAGCAAACAGG